Hyaena hyaena (striped hyena) is the source of this 2428-nucleotide long non-coding RNA. RefSeq lists it as uncharacterized. The record is from RefSeq and is a predicted model, not a curated record. NCBI's taxonomy places the organism in Eukaryota, Metazoa, Chordata, Mammalia, Carnivora, Hyaenidae. The transcript is spliced from 3 exons.
ACAGCCCGGCCCCACCUGGGAUCGCCCCUGCUGGAGGCCGACGGGCCACCUGGAGCCGGUCCCCGCCUCCCGGAGCCCAUCCCAGAGUGAGGAGGUGGCCGCCAGCCCCGCGCCUUCUACCCUCACCUGUGAGUGUGCGUCUGCAGGGGAGGGGAGGAGGGACCCCUGCCAAGAGGCUGGAGAGACGCAGCUUUCCCCAGGGCUGGUGGUCUUGAAGGUGCUCCCCGGUGCCCGUCAGCCGGGUCCCCAGGGCCUCAGCGGAGGGGCCGGGGCCCAGACUGGCAGGCAGCCCAGUGAGGCCCGGAAAUCUUCCCUGUCUGUAUCUUCUCCCCUUCUGCACCACCCCCCUCCCCAGGAGCCCGCCCAUCCGCGCGGGUUUGGACUCUCAGCGUUUGGCCCCCGCCGUGAGUCGAGGAGGGAGAGACUGGCCCCGGGAAUAGCUGCGUAUCAGGAAGUGUGUUGCACGGGUAGGUACCGGGUCCGUGCUGGGUGAAGUGGGGACCCCCUCCCCCCACCGCCUCCCCGGUUCCCUCUGCGCUCCUCUGCAGUCCAGAAAUGAUGCUUCUCCGAGUGGACGGUUUAACCGCAGGCCUGGUACGAAGAAGCCAUGAGGGCUUCACACCCCUGGAUGUCUUCCCGACUGAGACGAGAAAAGGCCCUUCUGAGCCAUCAGCUUCCUUCGAACGAGCAGAUGGAAAGGCAGCAAAAAACAAAGGAUAAGCUGUUGUGUGAAGUGUGACCACCUCCUCCCAAGUCGCCACACCUGCAGGCCCUUCCAGAGGCGGCCGCUGCUCUCACCUCAUCGCCACAGAUUCCAUUUGUCUGUUCGUGUGUCCGUUAGCGUCUCCAGCACUUUCUGUGGGAGCUCAUUCCCGUCUUCCAGGCCUCAGCUCAAGCAUCACCUCCCCCCCUUCCGUGUCCCUACCCUGUCCCUGUUUUUCAGAGCACGUCACAGUUUGCAGUUUCUGUUGGUUUGCACGUGUACAGUUCUUCUCCCCAACUAGAAGAAACGGCCCCUUCCCUCGGGAGACAGCCCAAAGCCGUGUCCAGGAUCUGCAGAUCACGUACGCUCUUCUCCCUUGGGGCCACACGCCACUCUCAUGUUCUGGUGACCAACCAACUAAGGGGGGUAAGUUGUCUGCCCCACACCCCACACCCAACACACAGUUGUGAAGUAAAAAUACUGAAACUCCCACUGAGAAAAGGGAGGGUGCGGUAGCCCCUGGUCCAGAGAAGCGACAGUCUCCUUGCUGUGAGACAGGCUUUGUGAGGGCUCCCUGCUCCGGGAAGGGUGAUGUGCCCCGAUCAGGUUCGGGCCUGACCUCUGAAGGGCAGGCUCUGCCCAUUUCUCUCCUUGAUCUCAUCCUCACCUCAGAGGAGUCUUUCCUUCCCGAUGACCGCCCCUGACUACACCUGAAGAGUUCUCUGAGGAGGAAGCCCUUCCCCUUGACGACAUCCAGCUCUCGGAGCUGUCCGCCUUGCGCGCAUGUCUGCCAGAGUCAAAGAAGUUUUUAAGGGUGACUUCAUGAUGUCCCUGGCGCUAAUUCUCUAGAAGGUUAUGGGCUUAAUGAGGUAGAGAGAGCUGUGCAAAGGGCAGGCCUACUGGAAACCCACACAGAGAUGGGUUGGACACAGGAGCCUGGCCCGUGGGGGGCAGUGCAGCCUGGAGAGGGACACUGGGGAGCCAUCGCCACAUCGCUGGCCUUUAUCAGCAGGCCGGCGCAUGUAGACAGGCCAGGGAAGAGGUCCAAAGACCGAGCCCUGGGUCACUCCAGCGGCCGGAGAGGUGGCGAGGCGCCCACUAGCAGGUGAAAGGAAGGGCCUGGGAGGAGGUGAAAAUCCAGAAAAGUGUGGUGUCCGGGAAGACAGGUGACAAACGUGUCUCAAGGCAGGUGUGCUGAUGGGUCACUAAGGUGGCCCAGCUGUCCUGGGCCUCCAUCUGUCCUGGGCCUCCACCUGUCCUUGGCCUCCACUUGUCCUGGGCCUUGAGCUGUCCUGGGGCUCCAGCUGUCCUGGGCCUCCACCUGACCUGGCCUCCAUCUGUCCUGGCCUCUAGCUGUCCUGGGCCUCCAGCUGUCCUGGGCCUCCAGCUUGCAGAUGGCAGAUGGAGGGACUUCUCAGCCUCUGUAGCUGCACGAUAAGUCUUUCUAUAGAUCUACAUAGAUCCUGCUGGGUCUGUGUGGCCACCCCUGACAAUUACAGGGCAUCCUGGGAAGAGAAGGGGGAGGCGUGGUGGGCUUAGGGAGGAAGGAGGGGCGAUGUGCUGGAAGAGCAAGGGGAAAACCUGGCCCGUGCUGGCCCGGAGGGGAGGACAGGCGUCACCUGAGCGGCCCCCAGCUGCUGUGCCCUCAGGACCGAGCCUGGUUUGGCCUGAGUGUGAAGGUGAAGAGCGCAUUCAGGGAAGAGGCUGUAAAUGUAGGAAGCCUGG